GGGUAUAGCUCAGUGGUAGAGCACAUGCUUAGCAUACAUGAGGUCCUGGGUUCAAUCCCUAGUACCUCCA
RNAcentral lists this transfer RNA (70 nucleotides) under Camelus bactrianus (Bactrian camel). It matches the Rfam family "tRNA". From Rfam's summary of the family: Transfer RNA (tRNA) molecules are approximately 80 nucleotides in length. Their secondary structure includes four short double-helical elements and three loops (D, anti-codon, and T loops). RNAcentral also lists the same sequence under 2 other names. Lineage: Eukaryota; Metazoa; Chordata; Mammalia; Artiodactyla; Camelidae. The record is from Rfam by way of RNAcentral.